CCAUUAUUGAAAUUGUUGAGCAUAUUUCGUGCUCAGGAGAAAUACCGUCUUCUUAGCUUUCUUGGCUUGCAGAGGAAAUCCCUUGUGCCCGGUCCAGAGGAACUGUCUGGCUGGGGGCAGAAAAAACGGCUUAGGAAGUUAAAAGUCAGCAAUUAUUCACUCACAGCACGACGUAAACCUCGUGCACAAGACGUCCCAUUGAGAUUCGGAACCAGUUUAGGAGUGCUUGCCGCCAUUAAUCCUACUCUAUCCCUCUGUGACAUGAGCAGAAUGGACUUGCUGAACAGACCAGUGAAAGUAGAACCUUGGAACCAAGAAAGGUCCAAAAGGAAAAGACAUGAUCCUGCAGGGCAAACUGUGCAGCCAAUUGCAAGAGCUACACGUAGCAGGUCAUUGCUGCAGACAGACUCCAGUGCAAACGAUCGACCUCUCAGACGCCACCACAGAAAUCAAGAUAAAGCACCUUCCCAACCUGCACGAAGAGGUAGAGUACCAGCACACAAUGCCUCUUCCCCUUCAAAAAGCACUAUGCUCAGGAUAAAGCAUGAAUCUUCGGACAGUGCCAUCCUGCAACCUAUUCACCGUCGCAAUACUGCCUACAACCCACAGGGAACUUCUCCUAAAGCACCAGGACGUAGGGGUCGCCCACCAGCAGAUCGCACAGUUAGGGUAGCCACAACAAAGUUGCAGCACACAAAGCGGCACAAACCUGGGCGCCCCCCAUUAGACAAACCUAAGAGCUCAAAACAAAUAGAAAGCAAAACACAAUGCAACCAUGCUACAGGAAUGCCACAAGCAAAUCACAGCAGAACUGAAAGCGGAACACCGGUGAAGGAGAACAGAAAGAUUAAGGAACGCGGGAACAGAAAAGACAGUCCUGAAGUUCAGUAUGCCAUCGUGAACUGGGAUACUUCCAACCAUCAGCAGCUUCACAGCCAUCCCCUUUACAAAACGAUAAAGGAAGAACCAGCUGAGCCCUUGCCCCUAACCCAACCAUUCCCACCCAGUGACUCCUUGGAUCUGGGCAAGCGUCAGAGCAAACCACCCAUCAAACUGUUGGAUCAAGGCUUCCUAUUCGGCUUCUGUCGACCACCAAGUGGCAUUAAACGGGAGGAGGAGAGUGUGGACAUCUACCUGACUCGGUCGGUCUCUCAUGGAAGUAGUUCCAAUUGCGAUUCAUCACCUGGCAUGGUGAGAAGAGAUCGGGUUAGGGCCAGGAUUCUGCCAGACCGGACCGGUCUAAAUGGGCCUCACUGGGCUGGACUUGGCAACAGGCACUCACCCUUUUCCCAAAGGACUGCUAUUCGAGUAAAGACUGAGAGGGAUGAAACAGGAGUGUCCCAAGUGUCAAAGGUUUGCAGAGUCUCUAGACACCCCCAGGUCAGCAAGAGGAGCUGUAAAAUUAAGAAGGAACCUACAAAGACAAAGAAUGUAAAUAAGCUGCUUCCUCUGAGCAGUCGCCAUUCCGUCCUACUGGAAACCAUCCGACGGACACGUCUGAAACAGCAGAAGGGUCCUCGUGGUCAGGCCUCCAGUGGAGCACAUGCUUGCCUGCAGUGCAGAGGCUCCUACAGGGACUGUGAUGCCCUUAUUAUGCACCGGAUCAGGCACAUUGAAGGCAAACACUGGCCCUGCCCGUUGUGCAGCAAAACUUUCUUCAGACAGAGAAAUGUGAGGAAUCACAUAAGGACACAUAAUCCCAAGAUCUACAAAUGCCGCCAGUGCAUUGCUGCUCAGUGAGGUCAGUCUGAAAUCCAGAGAUGUUCUCAAUAUUGCUGUAGGUUUUUGAAUUUCCAUGAGAAUUUAAAUAGUUGUGUCCUUAAUUUCAGGUAAAAAGCCACAAUCUUAAAUGAAGAGGAGCAAAGCUUUGUUUCUUUAAAUAUUAAUGCUGUAAAUACCAAGUAUCUGUGAUGUAUGACAAUGAGGUUCAAUUUAUGUAAAUAAUGUUAUGAUGGUUUAAAUUGUCUUUUUCCUCACAAUAAUUGUUGUUAUUUAAGUAACUAAGCUAUUAAGAAGUUGCUUUGCAAUUGCUACAGAUGUGUUGAACCAGAACUUGAACCCAUGGUGUAUUUCUCAGGGGGGCGGAGCCUGAUGGUCAAGGUGAUAUAUGUAUAAUGAGAAUUGUGUAGAAUGCUUUAAAUUUGUUACUACUACAGUUAUUACUAUUGUUAUUAUUUUUUAUAAAUGGCAUAGUCUUGAGUGCACUUAAUGUUCGCUUUGUUUUGAAACCUAAGAAAGAUGCGAUGGACUGGGAUGUACUUGAAUGAUUGUUGGAGUGUAGCCAGUGGACUGCCCUAAAUGUGUGGUUGUCUGGCAGUGUUUUAGAAAACCAUUACAGAAAUUAGUCAGGAAUUUUAAAAUGAAGGUUUGUUAAUGGAGUUAAGAGUUAUAAAAAAAUAAAUAAAAUGGUUAACCUACAUUGGUUAAAUACCAAUUGUUUGUGAAAACAAUUGUUUGACUACAGCUUUUCAAAAUGAGACAGUGACUGUGUCUUUUAAGGGAAUCCCAAAAUGUCUAAUGUCCCCUCCUCCUCCUCCUCUGAAAAUUCCUUGUCUGGCUUUUUAUGCAUAUCCUUCUUUAACAUAAAAUGCAAUGGACUUGUAUGAAGACGUUUUAAAUGUUGAGGUGUUUUGUCUGAAAACACAAGUUUGAAAUGUAGAACGACCAAAUAGCCAUAUAAAUAAAUUUUGAAUUUUAAAAUUUA
This is a long non-coding RNA of Sinocyclocheilus grahami, 2704 nucleotides long. Lineage: Eukaryota; Metazoa; Chordata; Actinopteri; Cypriniformes; Cyprinidae. The record is from Ensembl.